RNAcentral lists this ribosomal RNA (773 nucleotides) under uncultured Neocallimastigales. Its description in RNAcentral is "partial large subunit ribosomal RNA". It matches the Rfam family "Eukaryotic large subunit ribosomal RNA", at positions 24 to 643 of the family's 3401-position model. The record is from RNAcentral. Lineage: Eukaryota; Fungi; Neocallimastigomycota; Neocallimastigomycetes; Neocallimastigales.
AUGUGAUCGUCUCUCGCAUAUCAAUAAGCGGAGGAAAAGAAACUAACAAGGAUUCCCCUAGUAACGGCGAGUGAAGCGGGAAGAGCUCAAAUUUGAAAUCUUAAAGGGUUUCCCUUUACGAAUUGUAGUUUAAAGAAGUGUUUUCUGUUGAGGUUUUGGUAAAAGUUCUUUGGAAUAGGACAUCAUAGAGGGUGAGAAUCCCGUAUUUGACCUUUACUUUCAACUUUGUGAUACACUUUCAAAGAGUCGGAUUGUUUGGGAAUGCAGUCCAAAAUGGGUGGUAAAUUUCAUCUAAAGCUAAAUAUUGGCGAGAGACCGAUAGCGAACAAGUACCGUGAGGGAAAGAUGAAAAGAACUUUGAAAAGAGAGUUAAACAGUACGUGAAAUUGUCAAAAGGGAAGCGUUUGACACCAGUGUUGUUUUUCUGAAAAUCAAUUAAAGAACUGUUUAUGCUAAGUUGUUUAGACUUUAUCAGCUAACUGUUUAGUUUUGAGCUUUUCUUUAAUGCACUUUUCAGUUAACAAGUCAACAUCAAUUUCUUUUGCUGUAAAAAAGCUUGAGGAAGGUGGCUUGAGAUUCGUCUUAAGUGUUUAUAGCCUCUUGCCUAUGCAGUCGGAGAGAUUGAGGUCUGCAGCGUAGAUCCUUCGGGGCUAAAUGCAUUUGUGCUAAGUUAUAGCAUUUUAUAGACAACUUGUUGACUAUGAUUUGUCUUGUAGCUUACUCGCUUAUGUUAUUUUACCUACGCUUAGGAUGUUGACACACGCGCGUGCUCG